Molecule: ribosomal RNA, 253 nt
Filed under: uncultured bacterium
Lineage: Bacteria
Description: partial 16S ribosomal RNA
Rfam family: Bacterial small subunit ribosomal RNA
Source: RNAcentral
UACAAAGGUCUCGAGCGUUGUUCGGAUUCAUUGGGCGUAAAGGGUGCGUAGGUGGCUAGGUAAGUCGGAUGUGAAAUCCCGGGGCUCAACCCCGGAACUGCAUUCGAUACUGCCUGGCUAGAGUACUGGAGAGGAGAUUGGAAUUUACGGUGUAGCAGUGAAAUGCGUAGAUAUCGUAAGGAAGACCAGUGGCGAAGGCGGAUCUCUGGACAGUUACUGACACUGAGGCACGAAGGCCAGGGGAGCAAACGGG